This 305-nucleotide ribosomal RNA is filed under the name uncultured Spirotrichea. RNAcentral's name for it is "SSU rRNA". It matches the Rfam family "Eukaryotic small subunit ribosomal RNA", at positions 160 to 469 of the family's 1831-position model. Lineage: Eukaryota; Ciliophora; Spirotrichea. The record is from RNAcentral.
AGAGCUAAUACAUGCUGUUGUGCCCGACUCACGAAGGGCCGUAUUUAUUAGAUAUCAGCCAAUAAGCAUCUGCUAUUGUGGUGACUCAUAGUAACUUAAUCGGAUUGCAUGGGCUUGUCCCGCGACAAACCAUUCAAGUUUUUGCCCCAUCAUGCUUUCGAUGGUAGUGUAUUGGACUACCAUGGCUUUUACGGGUAACGGAGGAUUAGGGUUCGAUUCCGGAGAGGGAGCCUGAGAAACGGCUACCACAUCCAAGGAAGGCAGCAGGCGCGUAAAUUACCCAAUCCUGACUCAGGGAGGUAGUG